Molecule: ribosomal RNA, 775 nt
Filed under: uncultured Neocallimastigales
Lineage: Eukaryota; Fungi; Neocallimastigomycota; Neocallimastigomycetes; Neocallimastigales
Description: partial large subunit ribosomal RNA
Rfam family: Eukaryotic large subunit ribosomal RNA
Source: RNAcentral
CGCAUCUGUGCAUGCAGCAUAUCAAUAAGCGGAGGAAAAGAAACUAACAAGGAUUCCCCCUAGUAACGGCGAGUGAAGCGGGAAGAGCUCAAAUUUGAAAUCUUAAAGGGUUUCCCUUUACGAAUUGUAGUUUAAAGAAGUGUUUUCUGUUGAGGUUUUGGCAAAAGUUCUUUGGAAUAGGACAUCAUAGAGGGUGAGAAUCCCGUAUUUGACCUUUACUUUCAACUUUGUGAUACACUUUCAAAGAGUCGGAUUGUUUGGGAAUGCAGUCCAAAAUGGGUGGUAAAUUUCAUCUAAAGCUAAAUAUUGGCGAGAGACCGAUAGCGAACAAGUACCGUGAGGGAAAGAUGAAAAGAACUUUGAAAAGAGAGUUAAACAGUACGUGAAAUUGUCAAAAGGGAAGCGUUUGACACCAGUGUUGUUUUUCUGAAAAUCAAUUAAAGAACUGUUUAUGCUAAGCUGUUUAGACUUUAUCAGCUAUCUGUUUAGUUUUUGAGCUUUUCUUUAAUGCACUUUUCAGUUAACAAGUCAACAUCAAUUUCUUUUGCUGUAAAAAAGCUUGAGGAAGGUGGCUUGAGAUUCGUCUUAAGUGUUUAUAGCCUCUUGCCUAUGCAGUCGGAGAGAUUGAGGUCUGCAGCGUAGAUCCUUCGGGGCUAAAUGCAUUUGUGCUAAGUUAUAGCAUUUUAUAGACAACUUGUUGACUAUGAUUUGUCUUGUAGCUUACUCGCUUAUGUUAUUUUACCUACGCUUAGGAUGUUGACGCGCACAGAGUCUC